UACGGAGGGAGCUAGCGUUGUUCGGAUAUACUGGGCGUAAAGCGCACGUAGGCGGCGCCGUAAGUCAGGGGUGAAAUCCCGGAGCUCAACUCCGGAACUGCCCUUGAAACUGCAGUGCUAGAAUCUUGGAGAGGCGAGUGGAAUUCCGAGUGUAGAGGUGAAAUUCGUAGAUAUUCGGAAGAACACCAGUGGCGAAGGCGGGUUGCUGGGCUGACACUGACGCUGAAGCGCGAAAGCUAGGGGAGCGAACGGG
RNAcentral lists this ribosomal RNA (253 nucleotides) under uncultured bacterium. RNAcentral describes it as "partial 16S ribosomal RNA". It matches the Rfam family "Bacterial small subunit ribosomal RNA", at positions 524 to 776 of the family's 1533-position model. The record is from RNAcentral.